UUUCCACAGGCCAGCCACUGUGCAGAGUGGUGUGUGGUUUUAAAGUUGCCCAUGCUGUCUGUAUUAGUUUUCGAUUUGCUUUCAUAACAAAAUACUACAACCUUAGUGGGUUAAACAACGCAAAU
RNAcentral lists this small RNA (125 nucleotides) under Homo sapiens (human). RNAcentral describes it as "nc001 non-coding RNA". The record is from RNAcentral. Lineage: Eukaryota; Metazoa; Chordata; Mammalia; Primates; Hominidae.